GUAAAAUUUGUAUGGGUAUGUCAGCUGUCCCAUCAGCUGUUUUAUUUCGCGUGGCUUCGGAUUGAGGAUGGAUGCUCAAACGAACGUAUCUGUUCUUGAAAUUUCACCACCGAUUCCGUGUGUUUUGAGCAUGGUUUUGAGCUGCGUCUUGUGAAUUUGAUCAAUGCAGAGUUGUUCAAGGAGGAGCAUGGUUUGGCUUUGCUAGCACGUUUUUCAUCUCCGUUAGUCUAAUACAGUAAUACACCCAUUUUGUACCAAAGGUUUUCAGGAUGUACCUGAUGUAUUGUGGGGCUAAAGAAUCAUUCAGUGACUUGGUUCAAUCCAGGACUUGGUUUUUUCAAAAGUGAUUUACAUUUUUAAUUUGCAGAGACUCUCGAGGUACCUGAUGUGUUGGAUUGGCGUUGGAGUAACUUGGUGGACAGAACAGAAUGGAACAGAAUGGAAUGCCACUAAUGUUAUGUUGUCAGUGUAAAUAAAACAUAUCCAGUAUCA
Molecule: long non-coding RNA, 492 nt
Organism: Daphnia magna
Lineage: Eukaryota; Metazoa; Arthropoda; Branchiopoda; Diplostraca; Daphniidae
Exons: 3
Source: RefSeq, a predicted model, not a curated record